RNAcentral lists this ribosomal RNA (468 nucleotides) under uncultured bacterium. RNAcentral's name for it is "partial 16S ribosomal RNA". It matches the Rfam family "Bacterial small subunit ribosomal RNA", at positions 28 to 507 of the family's 1533-position model. The record is from RNAcentral.
GACGAACGCUGGCGGCGGGCUUAACACAUGCAAGUCGAACGGAAAGGCCCUGCUUUUGUGGGGUGCUCGAGGGGCGAACGGGUGAGUAACACGUGAGUAACGUGCCCUUGACUUUGGGAUAACUUCAGGAAACUGGGGCUAAUACCGGAUAGGAGCUCCUGCUGCAUGGUGGGGGGUGGAAAGUUUCGGCGGUUGGGGAUGGACUAGCGGCUUAUCAGCUUGUUGGUUGGGUAGUGGCUUACCAAGGGUUUGACGGGUAGCCGGCCUGAGAGGGUGACCGGCCACCUUGGGCCUGCGAUACGGCCCAGACUCCUACGGGAGGCAGCAGUGGCGAAUAUUGCCCAAUGGGCGGAAGCCUGAUGCAGCAACGCCGCGUGCGGGAUGACGGCCUUCGGGUUGUAAACCGCUUUCGCCUGUGACGACGCGUGAGUGACGGUAAUGGGUAAAGAAGCACCGGCUAACUACGUG